RNAcentral lists this ribosomal RNA (164 nucleotides) under Leymus coreanus. RNAcentral's name for it is "5.8S ribosomal RNA". It matches the Rfam family "5.8S ribosomal RNA". Rfam says of the family: 5.8S ribosomal RNA (5.8S rRNA) is a component of the large subunit of the eukaryotic ribosome. It is transcribed by RNA polymerase I as part of the 45S precursor that also contains 18S and 28S rRNA. Lineage: Eukaryota; Viridiplantae; Streptophyta; Magnoliopsida; Poales; Poaceae. The record is from RNAcentral.
CCAAACGACUCUCGGCAACGGAUAUCUCGGCUCUCGCAUCGAUGAAGAACGUAGCGAAAUGCGAUACCUGGUGUGAAUUGCAGAAUCCCGCGAACCAUCGAGUCUUUGAACGCAAGUUGCGCCCGAGGCCACUCGGCCGAGGGCAUGCCUGCCUGGGCGUCACG